This 466-nucleotide ribosomal RNA is filed under the name uncultured bacterium. Its description in RNAcentral is "partial 16S ribosomal RNA". It matches the Rfam family "Bacterial small subunit ribosomal RNA", at positions 28 to 506 of the family's 1533-position model. The record is from RNAcentral.
GACGAACGCUGGCGGCGUGCUUAACACAUGCAAGUCGAACGGAAAGGCCCCAGCUUGCUGGAGUGCUCGAGUGGCGACCGGGUGAGUAACACGUGGGCAAUCUGCCCUGCACUCUGGGAUAAGCCUGGGCAACUGGGUCUAAUACCGGAUAGGACCUUUCUCCUCAUGGGGUUUGGUGGAAAGUUUUUCGGUGCAGGAUGGGCCCGCGGCCUAUCAGCUUGUUGGUGGGGUAAUGGCCUACCAAGGCGACGACGGGUAGCCGGCCUGAGAGGGUGAUCGGCCACAUUGGGACUGAGAGACGGCCCAGACUCCUACGGGAGGCAGCAGGGGGGAAGAUUGCACGAUGGGCGAAAGCCUGAUGCAGCGACGCCGCGUGAGGGAUGGCGGCCUUCGGGUGGGAAACCUCUUUCAGUAGGGACGAAGCGCAAGUGACGGUACCGGCAGAAGAAGCACCGGCUAACUACGU